GUAGUAGUAGUAGUAGUAUAAAUUCAUAACACUAGUUACUAGUACCACCAUCUUCAUCAUAUCUAUUAACUUGUAUCUCUCUCUUGCUCUUAUAACUUCAAAAAAUACUAGUAUAUAUAAUAUAUAUGGAUCCAUCGGUAAUGGGCUGCAGAAAGUCCGAGUCCAACUAUAUGCUCAUGGUUGUAAUUGCGUUAUUGAGCUUAAGUUUGCUAUUUACUUGCAUGGAAGCCCGGCCUUUGAUAAGAUAUCCUCCUCCUACUACUCAAUUGGGAAGGGACGUUCAUGUUCAUGUUCAUGUUAAUGUUAAGGAGAAUGUUGCAGAGUACUAUGAGAAACUUCUUGCUCUCUGGGUUACUAUUAAGAAUAGUGGCCCGAGUCCUGGAGUUGGACAUUCCUUCGUUGAUGGAGCCCAACCCUGAUGAUAUAUAUAUAUAUAUAUAUAUAUAUAUAUAUAUAUAUAUAUAUAUAUAUAUAUGUUGGUAAUCUUAAAGAAAAUUAUGUAUAUAUAUUUAUAUUAACUUAUCUUGUAGAAAAUGAUUUGUCAAGGCUAGUACUUGGUACUAUGUUUUUAAGACAAUUAUAUCUUCCGUAUGGUGUUUAAAGUUUAUAGCACUUAUCUCCCAGAAUACAAUAAAACUGUAUACUUUAGCAACACUACAUGCAGAACUCGCCAAUCAAUGGAGGAGUAAUAUAGUUAGUGAUCUUAUCCCAUAUAUCUUUAGUUGUAAAUUUUUGAUGAGUAAUAUUGUUUUUACAACUAAUAUGUACACCAAUAUUUGAUCGAUAUUCUAAAAUAAUAUACUAUGAUUAUGUUUUUUUUCCAAGGC
This 827-nucleotide long non-coding RNA is filed under the name Panax ginseng (ginseng). RNAcentral's name for it is "long non-coding RNA (PGIN_LNC015157)". Lineage: Eukaryota; Viridiplantae; Streptophyta; Magnoliopsida; Apiales; Araliaceae. The record is from RNAcentral.